Rhopalosiphum padi (bird cherry-oat aphid) is the source of this 1250-nucleotide long non-coding RNA. RefSeq lists it as uncharacterized. The record is from RefSeq and is a predicted model, not a curated record. The transcript is spliced from 8 exons. NCBI's taxonomy places the organism in Eukaryota, Metazoa, Arthropoda, Insecta, Hemiptera, Aphididae.
UCUUUAUAAUUAAUAAUUAAAAUAACAAUAUAAUAUCUAAAACGUGCGUGGUUAUUAUGCUUAAAUACUCCAUAAUAUUGUUGUUUAAAUUUUAAAUAAUAAAAUGAAUAGUUUAUUGGUUAAGUUUUUAAUUUUUAUAUUACAUCUAUACCUUUUAGAAAAUGCAAUUACAGAGGAUGUUAUAGAACUUGGUCAAUCAUCAUGUAGAUACUCAGGUAAUCAUGAUGACAUUGAUGCAAGGUGUUAUGUUGAUAAAUUUGAGUUAAGCAAAUUACCAGCGAAUGAAUGCACGUCUUAUAUCUAUUUUGGAAUGACAUGUAAAGACGAUUCGACAAUCGUACCUAAUGAUUCUCCAGAUGAUUAAACGAAUAUUAAAUCACUUACUGAUUUUAGCCCCAAGGUUUUUAUAUUUUAUGGACGACAAACUUUAGAUUUUUGGACAUCUGAAAAAUUUAAUGAUAGUAUUGAAACUGAAGUUAAAAACUUGAAAGUAUUUCUUGACGACUAUCCAGUAGCGGGGUUAAUUUUGACUGGAAUAGAAACUCCCGUUGAUAAUAACAAUUUCUAUGUAAAAUUUGAAUCAUACGUCGCAAGUUUAAAGUCUACAAAUCCAAAAUUAAAAAUUGGUUUAUAUAUUAAAGCUUCAACAAUGUUAUCAUAUCCAAAUUGUACAGGAUGGUUUGAUUUUUCAAAGUUAAAUAACAUUACGGAUUUCUAUCUAAUUACAUUUCAUGACUAUAAUGAUUGUUAUGACGAAUUAUUACAUGGUGGAACUACUCCUAUGGAGUCAUCUAGUUCAAAUUUUAACACCUUAGUACGAUUUGCUGCUGCUUUAAACGUCUCAAAAAUGGCAACGAAAAAAGUGUAUUUAGAAUAUGUAUGAACUCCUACGAUGUAUUCUAGUUAUGCAGGUGUAAACCAUUGUGAACUAACGUAUGAACAGUAUUGUACAAACAAUAUCACAGACGAUUGGUGUGCCGACAACGCAACAACUUUCUAUGAAAAAGGUGUAUUUGCAAAACAAUAUACUGCAGGAUGGGUAGGUAGCGAUAUAGAUUUAAUUGAUCGUGGCUUAAGUUGUGGAUGUAAUGGUGAUCAGUUCUUUUCGUUUCAUAUGAUAUUAGAUGGCUACAAAAAUAAGACAAUGAGGACUUGCGAUUUUAAGUUUGGUUAAAUAUUUGCAUUAAUCAAGAUUGUCUAAUGUUGUAAUUAUAUUUACGAUUAAAUAAUAAAUUUGUUUGUUAAAAGUA